GAUUUCGUAGCUCAAAUGGCUAGAGUAUCGGUUUCAUACGCUGAAGGUUGAAGGUUCGAAUCCUUCCGAAAUUA
RNAcentral lists this transfer RNA (74 nucleotides) under Chryseobacterium daecheongense. RNAcentral's name for it is "tRNA-Met". It matches the Rfam family "tRNA". From Rfam's summary of the family: Transfer RNA (tRNA) molecules are approximately 80 nucleotides in length. Their secondary structure includes four short double-helical elements and three loops (D, anti-codon, and T loops). The record is from RNAcentral. Lineage: Bacteria; Pseudomonadati; Bacteroidota; Flavobacteriia; Flavobacteriales; Weeksellaceae.